AACGAACGCUGGCGGCAUGCCUAACACAUGCAAGUCGAACGAGACCUUCGGGUCUAGUGGCGCACGGGUGCGUAACGCGUGGGAACCUGCCCUUAGGUUGGGAAUAACUCCCCGAAAGGGGUGCUAAUACCGGAUAAUGUCUUCGGACCAAAGAUUUAUCGCCUUUGGAUGGUCCCGCGUUGGAUUAGCUAGUUGGUAGGGUAAAAGCCUACCAAGGCGACGAUCCAUAGCUGGUCUGAGAGGAUGAUCAGCAACACUGGGACUGAGACACGGCCCAGACUCCUACGGGAGGAAGCAGUGGGGAAUAUUGGACAAUGGGCGAGAGCCUGAUCCAGCAAUGCCGCGUGAGUGAUGAAGGACUUAGGGUUGUAAAGCUCUUUUACCCGGGAUGAUAAUGACAGUACCGGGAGAAUAAGCUCCGGCUAACUCCGUG
RNAcentral lists this ribosomal RNA (433 nucleotides) under uncultured bacterium. RNAcentral's name for it is "partial 16S ribosomal RNA". It matches the Rfam family "Bacterial small subunit ribosomal RNA", at positions 29 to 507 of the family's 1533-position model. The record is from RNAcentral.